UCCAAUCGAACUCGGAGAUAGCUGGUUCUCCCCGAAAUAGCUUUAGGGCUAGCCUCAUAUUAGAUACCCGGAGGUAAAGCACUGAAUGGCCUAGCGCCCGAGAGGGUAGCGAAGCCUAUCAAACUAAGAAUGCCGGAGUAUUGAUGUAUGGGAGUCAGACAGUGUGAGAUAAAUCUCAUUGUCAAAAGGGAAACAGCCCAGAUCUACAGCUAAGGUCCCAAAUUGUAUCUAAGUGGAAAACGAUGUGGAAAUACGCAGACAACCAGGAUGUUGGCUCAGAAGCAGCCACUCAUUUAAAGAGUGCGUAAUAGCUCACUGGUCGAGCGUCUCUGCGCGGAAAAUUUAACGGGGCUAAGAUACAAACCGAAGCUUAGGCUGCAUCGUAAGAUGCGGGGUAGGGGAGCGUUGUGUAAGCGGAGAAACAGUAGCGUAAGCGGCUGUGGAGUUUACAGAAGUGAGAAUGCCGGAAUGAGUAGCGCGAAUGUGGUGAGAAUCCACAUGGCCGGAAACCUCAGGUUUUUGGAGGAAGGUUCGUCCGCUCCAAGUUAGGCGGGAGCUAAGGUCAGGCCGAAAGGCGUAGCCGAUGCACAGACGGUAGAGAUUCCGUCCCCACCGAAAGAUUUAAGCACAGGGACACUUUUUGAAGGUCGGAGCCAGGUGUUGGUUCUGGUAGUGAUCGAGGGAAAUAUAGUACCGAAGUCCGGCUGGAAGAGAGGCGAGAAAAGCUGUGUGUAUAUCUAAGGUGCCCGUACCGCAAACCGACACAGGUAGGUAGGAAGAAGAUUCUAAGGCCAACGGGAGAAGGGUUGUUAAGGAACUCGGCAAGUUGACCCCGUAACUUCGGAAUAAGGGGUGCUCACGAGAGUGAGCCGCAGAGAAUAGGCCCAGGCAACUGUUUACCAAAAACACAGGUUUGUGCUAAAUCGAAAGAUGACGUAUACGAGCUGACGCCUGCCCGGUGCUGGAAGGUUAAAAGGAGAUGUGCAAGCAUUGAAUUGAAGCCCCAGUGAACGGCGGCCGUAACUAUAACGGUCCUAAGGUAGCGAAAUUCCUUGUCAGGUAAGUUCUGACCCGCAUGAAAGGCGUAAUGAUUUGGGCACUGUCUCAACAGCCCGCCCGGCGAAAUUGUAGUACCGGUGAAGAUGCCGGUUACCCGCGACAAGACGGAAAGACCCCAUGGAGCUUUACUGUAGCCUGAUAUUGGGUUUCGGUGUUGCAUGCACAGGAUAGAUGGGACACUGGGAAGCGGAUGCUUUGGCGUUCGUGGAGUGGACGUUGGGAUACCAUCCUUGCGACAUUGGAAUUCUAACCUGCGCCUCUGAAUCGAGGCGGGGGACAUUGUCAGGUGGGCAGUUUGACUGGGGCGGUCGCCUCCUAAAAAGUAGCGGAGGCGUUCAAAGGUUCGUUCGAUCUGGACGGAAACCAGAUGAUUGAGUGCAAACGCAUAAACGAGCCUGACUGCGAGACUGACGGGUCGAGCAGAGACGAAAGUCGGAGUUAGUGAUCCGGUGGUAUGUGAGUGGAAAUGCCAUCGCUCAACGGAUAAAAGUUACCCUGGGGAUAACAGGCUGAUCUCCCCCAAGAGUCCACAUCGACGGGGAGGUUUGGCACCUCGAUGUCGGCUCAUCGCAUCCUGGGGCUGAAUUCGGUCCCAAGGGUUUGGCUGUUCGCCAAUUAAAGCGGUACGCGAGCUGGGUUCAGAACGUCGUGAGACAGUUCGGUCCCUAUCUGUCGUGGGCGCAGGAUAUUUGAAAGGCGCUGUCCCUAGUACGAGAGGACCGGGAUGGACGAACCUCUGGUGCACCAGUUGUCACGCCAGUGGCACAGCUGGGCAGCUAUGUUCGGAUCGGAUAAACGCUGAAAGCAUCUAAGCGUGAAGCCGGCCUUAAGAUAAGAUAUCCCACUGAGUCAAUCAGGUAAGACCCCUUGAAGACUACAAGGUUGAUAGGCACACAGUGUAAGCGGAGUGAUCCGUUCAGCUAGCGUGUACUAAUAGGUCGAGGGCUUGACCC
Molecule: ribosomal RNA, 2012 nt
Filed under: human gut metagenome
Description: bacterial LSU rRNA
Rfam family: Bacterial large subunit ribosomal RNA
Source: RNAcentral